UCCAGGUUAAUGAGAAUCAAAGUCCAACUGACAAUUUAGCAGAUUCUGUUGUAGCACUUUUAUCUCAACACAACUCUCAAUCAACUACUGUUACUGAGGCUAAGGAUGAUGAUAUUGUUAAGCAGUUGAUACAAGAAGGAAUGGAGAGAGCUAAUGAGAGGGCAAUCAGUAGGGCUGCACGCAUUCAGAAGUUCACUAUACUACCAGUUGAGUUCAGUAU
Molecule: long non-coding RNA, 220 nt
Organism: Amphimedon queenslandica
Lineage: Eukaryota; Metazoa; Porifera; Demospongiae; Haplosclerida; Niphatidae
Exons: 3
Source: RefSeq, a predicted model, not a curated record